GUGGAAGGGAGCUUGCCCCCGAUGGCGCUGGGUCAGUCAACUUAUUCAUCAACUGACCUCCCCUUAUCGGGGGCAAGCCCCCUCCCAC
Molecule: unclassified non-coding RNA, 88 nt
Filed under: Pseudomonas rhodesiae
Lineage: Bacteria; Pseudomonadati; Pseudomonadota; Gammaproteobacteria; Pseudomonadales; Pseudomonadaceae
Source: RNAcentral